CGGAGGAGCAUGUGGUUUAAUUCGAUGAUACGCGAGGAACCUUACCUGGGCUCGAACGUAAGAUGACUGUAGGUGAAAGCUUACAUCUCUUCGGAGCAUUUUACGAGGUGCUGCAUGGUUGUCGUCAGCUCGUGCCGUGAGGUGUCGGGUUAAGUCCCAUAACGAGCGCAACCCCUACCUUUAGUUGCCAUCAGGUAAUGCUGGGGACUCUAAAGGAACUGCCUACGCAAGUAGUGAGGAAGGCGGGGAUGACGUCAAAUCAGCACGGCCCUUACGUCCAGGGCUACACACGUGCUACAAUGGCCGGUACAAAGGGCAGCUACCUGGUGACAGGAUGCUAAUCUCAAAAGCCGGUCUCAGUUCGGAUCGGAGUCUGCAACUCGACUGCGUGAAGUCGGAAUCGCUAGUAAUCGUGAAUCAGAAUGUCACGGUGAAUACGUUCCCGGGCCUU
RNAcentral lists this ribosomal RNA (451 nucleotides) under uncultured Sphingobacteriales bacterium. Its description in RNAcentral is "bacterial SSU rRNA". It matches the Rfam family "Bacterial small subunit ribosomal RNA", at positions 930 to 1382 of the family's 1533-position model. The record is from RNAcentral. Lineage: Bacteria; Pseudomonadati; Bacteroidota; Sphingobacteriia; Sphingobacteriales.